RNAcentral lists this ribosomal RNA (332 nucleotides) under Xenocatantops brachycerus. RNAcentral's name for it is "partial 12S ribosomal RNA". Lineage: Eukaryota; Metazoa; Arthropoda; Insecta; Orthoptera; Acrididae. The record is from RNAcentral.
AUUAGUUAAGUCUUUAAACCCAAAGAAUUGGCGGUAUCUCAUUCCAUUCAGAGGAACCUGUCCCUUAAUUGAUAAUACACGAUUAACUUUAUUUAAUUUAUUUGUUUGUAUAUCUCCGUUAUCAGAAAAUCUUUUUAGAGUUAUAAUUUUCUUGAUUUAUAAUUAUAAAGUAUUUCAGGUCAAGGUGCAGCUUAUAAUUGAAUGAGGAUGGGUUACAAUAUAUUUAUAUAUAUAUAAUGGAUUUGAUAAUGAAAUAUUAUUAAUGAAGGUGGAUUUGAUAGUAAUUUAAUUUAUUUAAUUUAAUUGAUAUUGGCUCUGAGGUGUGUACACAU